This 450-nucleotide ribosomal RNA is filed under the name uncultured bacterium. Its description in RNAcentral is "bacterial SSU rRNA". It matches the Rfam family "Bacterial small subunit ribosomal RNA", at positions 29 to 523 of the family's 1533-position model. The record is from RNAcentral.
AACGAACGCUGGCGGCAGGCCUAACACAUGCAAGUCGAGCGAACCCUUCGGGGUUAGCGGCGGACGGGUUAGUAACGCGUGGGAACGUACCCAUCUCUACGGAAUAGCCUCGGGAAACUGAGAGUAAUACCGUAUACGCCCUUCGGGGGAAAGGAAUUUCGGGGAGUGGAUCGGCCCGCGUUAGAUUAGGUAGUUGGUGAGGUAACGGCUCACCAAGCCUACGAUCUAUAGCUGGUUUGAGAGGAUGAUCAGCAACACUGGGACUGAGACACGGCCCAGACUCCUACGGGAGGCAGCAGUGGGGAAUCUUCGGCAAUGGGCGCAAGCCUGACCGAGCCAUGCCGCGUGAGUGAUGAAGGCCUUAGGGUCGUAAAGCUCUUUCGCCAGAGAUGAUAAUGACAGUAUCUGGUAAAGAAACCCCGGCUAACUCCGUGCCAGCAGCCGCGGUAA